CAUAACUAAAAUAAAGUCCCCGGAGGGUUCAGGAAAUAUCAGUGUGGCAGAGUAGCUUGUCAGACAGCUCUUUUAUUUUCAGUUCAAUCCUGGUAGGAAAAUUGCUCCUAUUGCUUGGCUACUAUUAAGGUUUUAAACAUUAUUGUUCCUUGGAAAUGAUCUGCUUACACUGCUUCUUGCCAGAGAAUGGCUUAUGUCCAUAAUAACUGAAGAUUAUAUACCCAAUGAUCUCAUUUCAUAUGCAGCUGCAGAGUGGUUUCGAAAUGGUAAUAAUUGCCUAUUGCUCUCGGGAUUAUCUUAUCGUCUGGCAAUGGUUAUAAAGACAGUAGGGUUUUAAGAGGCCAAUUAGUAAGACUGACACAAAGAACUAAUUUUUAUUUUUCUCUAAAUGACUCUCAAAGUGAGCAUCUAAUUCAGACCUCAGAAAGAUCUGAAAGAACUUCUGUGGAACUGAGUUAUAGAACAAUACAGAAAGCUAAAGGUGAGGAUCCCCAUGAAAAUGGAGUGUUGUGCACUUUCAGGAGAUGGGUUGGGUGAGACUAAUCAUUAAAAUGGCCACUGAAAUGUUGUUUCGCAUCUUACUUUAAAGGUGCUACAUCUCUUUUCUUUGCUAAGUAUUGUGCAAACAAGGGUCCCAGUCUGCAAAAAUUCUACAGUUUUAUUUACCCACACCAAUGCCAUUUGAUGAAAAUUUCUCUUGAGAGGGAAAUCACAUUGUCUUAAGCACCAAUUGUGGACCAGAUGCAUUGAGUAUUUCAUCCAUUUAACACUCACUGUAACCUUCUGAGGUGUGUUUUCACCAUUUUACAAAGCUCUUUCUCUUACUCAGAUGCAUUGAUUCAUUCAACACAUUUUUUUUAAAGAUCCCACUCUGUGCUAGGUGCUGGGUUAUAACAGUGAACAAACCUACAAACAUCCUUGCCCCAUAGAGCUUUUGUUUUUGUGGGUAGAGAGAGAACUAACCAAACAUAGUAGAUGAGGCUUUGGAAAUUAGUGCUAUAGAAAAGAUAACUGGGGUAAGAGAACUAGAAGUGGUAGACUGGCAGAGCUAGAGAAAUUUUGUGAAUUUACACAGAACAAUCAAUGCAUGAGCUAUUGAUUGCUGAAUAACACAAAUUACUCCAAAACUUAAUGGGUUAAAAACAACAGACUUUUAAUUAUCUCACAGUUUCUAUGGGUCAGGAAUCUGGGUAUGAUUAACUCACGUCUCUGCUUCAGGUCUCUCAAGAAGUUGGAUUCAGUGUGGAAUAGUUGGCAAGCUCAAGUUAAGGGCAGGCUCCUGGACCAAGAGAACUCAGUUCUUUGAUGGCUGGAGGCUAGGCACCCUCCUCAGUCCCUUAGCUCAUGAACCUCUCCAUGUGGCCACUCAUAAUAUGGCAGUUGGUAUCCCUCAGAGUGAGCAAGCAAGUAGAAGAAUGAGUAUGCUGAAGAUGGAAGCCACAGACUUUUUGUAAUCUGAUCUCCAAAAGGACAGUUCCUUGUGGCUGACUAGUUUUAUUUGCUAGAAUUGAGUCAUUAAAUCUCAUACUCUAGAGUUGGAGAUUAUACAAAGGUGUGGGUCCCAGGAGGCAGAGGUUAUUGGAUGUUGUACUACCAGAGUCAGUAAGCCUGUUUAGAGAUGACACCUGAACAGAAACCUAAAGGGAGAGAGGGAGAAGAGCACUUUAGGUGGAGGAAAUAGCUAGUGCAAAAGGUGAGAAGAGUCUAAUCCAAGAUGAGGUCAGAGAGGUAGCCCUGGGUUAAAUAAAACAGAGUUUUAUGUGGGCUGUGGUAAGGAAUUUGGAUUUUAAUUUCAGUAAGAUGGGAAGGCUCUUGGGCAGAAGGGUAUCAUGACUUAUGUUUUAAGAAAAUUACUCUGAUUGUGCUGUGGAGAAUAGGUUGGGAAAGUGAAUAUUAACAGGAACAAUGGAACAGAAACAAGUUAGAAUGCUAUUGCACUAAUCCAGCUGAGUGAUGAUCAUGGCUUAGACUAUGGUGAUAGAAGUGGAAAUGGGGAGGAGAAAUGGAAUUUUGGAAUUAUUGCCUAGUAAAACUGACAGGAUUUGCUGAUUUUUUUUGAGAGAGAGAAAGGGUCUCACUGUGUAAUUCAGGCUGGCCUUGAGCAGGGCUGUGUGGCCCAGGUUGGCCUUGAAUUCUCAGUGAUCUUCAUACCUUAGCCUCCCGAGUGCUGAGACUACUGGUGCUCGCCACCACACCUGGCUUCUGUUGAUGGUUCAGAUGUAGAUUGUAAAGAAAGUAAGGAGUCAGUAAUGACAAGUGGCUUUUUGGAUUUAGCAACUGGAAAAAUAGUUACCCAUUAUUAAUCUGGGAAAUACUGAUACAUGAGCACGUUUUGAAGGGGGGGGAGUAUAAACCAGGGGAUUUGUACAUAUUAAUGUACACCUAGUAGACUUCAAACUGGAGAUGUUUAAUUGUCAAUAGGGUGUAUUAGUCUGGAGCUCUGGAAUGUAGGAUGGACCAUAAAUACAAAUUUAUAAAUUUCUAGAGUUAAUAGGAAUUUAAAACCAAUGGAAUGUAUGGCAAAACUGAAGAAGUGAGAAUAGAUUGAGAAGAGGAAAGAUUCAAGGAUUGAAACCCAGGGCACUGCAAGAUUUAGAAAUCAGGCAAAUCAGACCAGGAAGGGAGACUGAGAAGAAACCAGAAAGGGAGAAGGAUAACCAAGAGAUUAUUGCCCUGCAAGCCGGUUGUGUUUCAAGGAGGAGUGAGUGGUCAACUGUGUCAAAUACUGACAACUGGUUAAGCAAGACCUAUGAGGAUUGAAAAUUGGUCAUGGAUCUGAGAACAAGGAGGCCACUGGUGGCCUUGAUGAAUGGAAGCUGUUUCAGUGGAGUUGGAGAAUGAAAAAAAGCAAUUGGGGAAGGUGAGAACUGAGGCUCUUGGGAGUCAGAGUUAUCUUCUAACAAUUGGUUGCCUGAACUACCUAUGAUGAGCUCACCUGUGGUUCUCAUUAGAAAUGUCAUUUGGAGAGCUCCACUCUAGAAUUUCUGUGGAUGGUACCUUGUUACCUUUAUUCUUCACGAGUCCAACGAAUGAUUUCAGACACAUUAAAAUGUGAGAACCAAUAUCCUGCCCCAUGCAUGUUAUCCUACAUCCAUUAAAGACCUCCCAUGCAUGUGUGUCUUAUGGUUUAGAUCUGAAAUGUGCAAUGUCCCCCAAAAGCUUGCGUCUUGAAGACUUGGUCCCCAGUGGAGCAGUGUCCAGAGGUGGAGUUUUGGAAGGUGAUUCUAUCAUGAGGGAUUAAUCCACUGAUGAAUUUGUAGCCUAAUGGGAUUUUGGGGAGAUAGUGGAAACUUUAGGAAGUAGGCCUACCUGGAGGAAGUUAACUGGUGGCAUGCUCUUGAAGGGUAAUUUUGUAUGCAGCCCCUUCUCUUCUCUCUCUGUUUCCUGACUACCAUGAGGUGAGGAGCCCUGCUCUACCACACACCCCUGCCAUGAGUGUGCUGCCUCACCACAGCCCCAGAGGGGACAGGCCAGCUGACCAUGGUCUAAAACUGCGGAAACUGGCUUCUAGGAACCUCAGAAAAUUUGAAAUUCUCAGAAUCAGCAUGUUUGCUUCCUGAGGAUGCUGGAAACGGAGACACAAAGGCAUCCCAAACUUGUUUGGCUGCUAAAGUGCUUAAUUAACUGCGCCUGUUCACCUGGAACGAUGGAGGACCUUGAAGGCAAUUUUGGUCCCAGAAGGGAGGAGGAGCAGGAGGUGUGCUGUAAUAAUUUUGUUCUUUUUAAGUUUAAAAGGUUUUAUUUAAGUAAUACAAUGUCUUUAAUUUGAGAUUUAAAAAAUCUGAAAUCUGAGAUAAUUUACAUUCUAAAGUUUAGCAGGUUUUGGCUCUAAAUUUUAGAGAGUUUUUAUCAAAGUACUGUAGCUCUAGAAAGGAGUUUAAGUGAUCUGUAUAAGAAAACAAUAUUGGAGCUCAUUAAGAAAAUGAAUUGUUAUAAAGUACUUAAAAAGUAUGUAACACACUAUAUGAAAAGCGUUCAAUAGCUAUUAAGUAUUAAAUGAACAUAAGGCACCUCAAGUUCUGCCUAGUCACUUUUUACAUACUGAUUAGCUUAAAUUCUUAUUUGGCAAAUUGGUUGGUUUGGUUUAAGCAAAUUAUGUGUGCAUACCAGUAUAUAUGUUUUCCCAUGAGUCUCUGAGGACAUUUCUUGUCUUGUUCAUCUUUGUACCUCUAAUGGGCUUAACACAAUGUUGUAUGUCAAGUAUUAUAAUUGACCAAUAUUUAUAUAAAUGAUCAAACUGCAAUAAAGUACUUGAAGCUAACCCAACUGUCUUAUAAUUAUGCUUUUUCUAAUUUUCUCUCCCUCACAAUUCAUCCAGGUUAGUUGGUAUGCUCCAAAGAGCACACUAUAUAUUCUAUUGUUUUACAAAUUUAUUUUCAACAAAGACAAGGAUACAGAUGUCUUCCAUACAUAACUAAUACUCUGUGAUGCUAAACCCACUCUCUCAUGUUGGGAUUCUGACACACUGCUAUGCAGGCUGCACACACUUCAUGAGAAAGAACAGUAC
RNAcentral lists this long non-coding RNA (4507 nucleotides) under Heterocephalus glaber (naked mole-rat). RNAcentral describes it as "lncRNA (ENSHGLG00000049316.1)". The record is from RNAcentral. Lineage: Eukaryota; Metazoa; Chordata; Mammalia; Rodentia; Bathyergidae.